GCUUGUGAAUCACAUGAUUGAACUCGGGUUCUCCAAGUCAUUAUCUGAAUGGAUUGGUAGCAAUCUUAAGAAAUCUGGAGAACAGGAGACUUGGUCUUUUAAUCUUGAAGGUGCCAUCCAGAUGUUCAAUUCUUACAGGGAGACAUCAUAUUGGUCUCUACUGGAGCACCCACCGAAAGGAAUGGAGAUGGGUAUCGUGAUCGCAGAAAAGAGCGACCGGUGGGAGCCUGAUGUAAUUCAGCGACUUGAAAAUCUUGACAAUCAGAAAGAAAAUGGCGCUGAGGGUAAGG
Molecule: unclassified non-coding RNA, 290 nt
Filed under: Hevea brasiliensis (rubber tree)
Lineage: Eukaryota; Viridiplantae; Streptophyta; Magnoliopsida; Malpighiales; Euphorbiaceae
Source: RNAcentral